Equus caballus (horse) is the source of this 3346-nucleotide non-coding RNA. NCBI's taxonomy places the organism in Eukaryota, Metazoa, Chordata, Mammalia, Perissodactyla, Equidae. The record is from RefSeq and is a predicted model, not a curated record.
AGGAUUCCAACACAGGCAGUGAGGGGUCGGAGUCUGUGUCAUAAUCCACUUCACAGGCUUGUGUGGAUUAAACGAAAUAAUCCAAGUGAAGGGCGAGGGCAAGGAAUGGCACACAGCAAGUACCCUUUAUUAGUUUAAAAUGUGAAACACUUUGGCCUGGAAGUCAAGAAUUCGCUCAAAGCCCCUGAUUUUAUGCGUGAACUCAUCAGGCGUCUCCUCUCGGGUAUGAAAUGGACGGGGAGGACACUGGAGACGAAUCCCCUAGAAACGUACAGCCCUCAGGCCCUUUUACUCUAGGAUCCUGCUACUUCAGAAGUAGAAGCGGAAGUAACUGGUGGACAAGGAGCGCACUUCCGGUGUUCCUUCAGCCCUCUCUACCCCGGCAGACAGGUCGUCCCCUUCCCACGCCGCCUGCGUCCCGGGCUGACCCCUUUCUCGUGGGAGCCCCGCCCCAGGCGAAGGCUCGGUUUUCCAUUGGUGGAGGUCAGGAGCUGCGUAGCCGUCUUUCAACCAAUGGACUCCGCUGUCUCUUCCGUUUGGUAAAGUCAGCCCCUCCUCCGGGCCGGCAGAGGGCGCGAGAGCGCGUGGCUCGAAGCCUAGGAGGUUCUCCGACACGGAAGUGACGUCACGACGCCGGAAAUCCACGGCCGCGGAGACUGCGGGAUGUGAUGGAGAAUUCUAGGGGGUGGAGGUCGAGCGAUAAAGUUUCCGCGAGGCGGUCAGAUAGAUGAGAAAACAAGCUGCCAGCGGAGGGGCUUGCUCAGUAUUUACUCAGCCAGAAAGUCUUCCAAGACCAGCGCGCUUCCCACAUGCCUCUCGGAGCGGAGGGGUAGCCCCUUGGGGGAUUUUGCUCUGCCUGAGGAGUUGCGCAAGCUAGUCUCACGGAGAUAUCCCCCUUCCGCAGAUCGGGAACACGAAACCCAGAGAGGGACAGGGACUUGCCAGGGUGGGGUUGCCAGAUUUAGCAAAUAAAACGCAGGACGCCCAGUUAAAGUUGAAUUUUGGUUAAACAAUGUUUUAGUAUAAGGCAUGUACGUUUACUAAAAGGUAUCCGUUGUUUAUCUGAGUUUAGAGCUAGCUGGGCGUCCUGUGAUUUAUCUGGCAAUCAGCCUACGGUCACCCAGCUGAGGGGAAGGGCAGAAAGCUAUUGAGGCAUCCUAUAUGCCUCCUCGCCUAAGGUUCACUGUUGUGUCAACCUGCACCCUUCCUGAGUGUAACCCUGAGGUGGCCUACAGGGCCCCCAGUUCACUCGGGUCAGUGGUCUGCCCUGUACAGGGUCUAGGCUGCUGUUCAGGAACUGAGGAGAGGAGGCCAGAUACUACCCCUACCUUGGAAUUUAGGGGUACCCCACAGCCUCCAAGACUAGUUUAUUCAGAAGACACUAAGCCCUUAGUCUGUGCCAAGUACAAACCCAGGCUUUGGAUCACAUUGGCAAAUGGAAGAAACGCUCUCUGUCUUUAUGGAAUUAACAGAUUUGCAGGAGGACAAGUAGAAAAAUUACGCUACAUUGUGACCAGCAGUCCUUUAAUAUGGUUAAAUACAGGAUGCUGUGAAAGCUCAGAGAAGCAGUACCUAACGAAGGCAUAGAGUAAGAGACAAAGGAGAGAUGCCCAAGCUGAGACCUGAAAGAUUCCUUCACUCAACAGUUAUUUAUUGGACAUCCAUGUGUAGGGCAGUGGUCUAGGCACUGAGGACACAGCAGUGAACAACAUAAAUCUCUGCCCUUAAGAGCUUAAUUCUAAAUGGAAUGUAUAGUAUGGUGAUGCUGAGCUAUGGGGAGGGGGAAGUACGACUAUGAAGGGGAUGAUAGAAUGCUGGGGUGGGAGUGUUACAGUUUUUAAGAAGCUGGUGGUCAGGAAGGCCUCACUGAGAAGGUGACAUUUGAGCAAAGACCUGAAGGGGUGAGGGAAAGAGAUCAUGGAGCUUUGGGGGUUUAUAAGGAAAUGUGUCGGGCAUGUUGGAGGAACAGAAAGAGGAGAAUGAUGCACUGCCUCCAAUCUGAUAGCUUUCUAAGGGAUUUUCAGUGAUCAUUUUUGCAUGGUGUUUCUUGCCUUAAAUAUUGUCCUUAGAAUCUAAUUCCAGUAAAAUGUGAGUUCACAUAACUAGGUGGGAGGCCACUUUGAAUAGGGUAUUCAGAAAAGGCCUUCCUGAGAAGGCAACAUUGAAGGUGAGCCCUUUAUGGUGAGAAUGAGUCAGCCCUGGAGAAGCUGGAAGAAGAGCUGCUUAGGCAGAGGGAACAGCCAGGGCAAAGGCCUGGAGGCAGGAAAGAACUCGGUAAAUGUGGGGAACCAAAAAGAGGCCAAUAGACUGGAGAGAGAAGAGCGGCGUGAGAUGAGGUUGGAGAGGUGGGCAGAGGUCUCAGGCCAUUUAGCUUUUAUUGGCAUCACGAUGGGACUCAACUGAAGGAUUUUCAGCAGAGGACUGACAAGAAUGGAUUCAUGUUUCAAAAAGAUACCUGCCUGCUAGGAGGCUGUAUCGGAUAAUUUUGCUGGUUGAAUUCACAUGGGCUUAGCUGCUCAUCACAGAGGUGCCAGGAAGAGGAUUUAAAAUGGAGUGAAGGGUUGAGUGGGAACUUCCAGCCUGUCGCCUCCCCUAUGGACCUUUACAGCUGGAAUGAGCUGGCUUGGGCAGGUGGGUUUCCUAGGGGACGGGUGACACCCAGAGAGCCAGCAUUUCCCUCCUGAGCAGGGAUUGACAGAAGUGACAACUUGUGUCCCUCAGACCCCGUCAGGUUCUCUAGCUGGGCUUGCCUUAACCAGGCUGGGGGAUGAAGGAAGUGCAUGCUACCAGCAGCCCACCGGGUCUCCUCCCUCUGCCCCUUUUGAAUAUACUUUCAGUUAUCUCUUCAAAGGUCCUGUCAUGCGUCUGCUCCAAAGGCACACAGGCUCCAGUGAGAAAUCUGUUCAAACUCCAUACCAGCUGCUGUCACUUUAAAAAGCUACAGAGGACUCUCCCCAGUGAACCUGCUUCAGACAAGGUGAGAAGGAGACCAAGGGAGACCCCAAGGACACCCCCAUACCUGGCUGACCAGGCCCUUUGCGCUGCAGAGGAGGCAGACACAGCUGGAAGGGACAGGAUUUAUGUUGCAUACUUGAACUACAGCGAGAAAUCUGUAACACAGACCAUUUGCGGACAACCAAGAUAUCAGUGCAAUUUGUCACAGUGCCGGAUCCUCCCAGGCAGGUCCCAGAGGAAGAGUCAUGACUGAAAGAUGGAUGCGAGCGGGUCCUGACUAUGCCCUCAGAGGCCCCGCCCUCCGCCCUCCGCUGACUCACCAUGUUCCAGGGUUUCGCCGGUUCAGAUCCUGGGCACGGACAUGGCACCACUCAUCAGGCCAUGCUGAGGC